ACGACCCCAGGUCAGGCGGGAUCACCCACUGAGUUUAAGCAUAUCAAUAAGUGGAGGAAAAGAAACUUACUAGGAUUCCCUUAGUAACGGUGAACGAAUCGAGAAGAGCCCAGCUUGAGAAUCGGGUGCCCCCAAUGAUCGAAUUGUAGUCUGGAAAAGUAUCCUCAGCGAUGGAUCGAGUCCAAGUCCCUUGGAAAGGGGCACCAGAGAGGGUGAGAGCCCCGUUAUGCCUGGACCUUGUCACACCACGAAGUGCUGUCCGUGAGUCGGGUUGUUUGGGAACGUAGCCCCAAUCGGGUGGUAAAUUCUGUCCAAGGCUGAAUACAAGCGAGAGACCGGUAGUGAACAAGUACCACGAGGGAAAGAUGAAAAAGACUUUGAAAAGAGAGUCAAAGAGUGCUUGAAAUUUUUGGUAGGGAAGCGGAUUAGGGCUGAUGAUAUGCCUCGAUCGGAUGUGGAAUGGUAAGAGUCGAUCCAUUGAUCAGCUCGGGGCGUGGACCGAUGUGGAUCGUGGUGGAAGCCCAAGCCCGAGCUUUUGAUGUGCCCACAGAGAUGUCAUUGUUACGAUUGUGGAAUGCAGCACACACUGUCUUGGCAUGCCUCGACACCUGGUGCUCCCAACGUCAGUCUAUGGGCUUGCCAUCCGGCCUGUCUUGAAAUAUAGACCAAGGAGUUUGACGUGUGUAUGAGUCAACGGGUCAAGAAACUCGUAAGGCACAAGGAAACUGAUUAGUGGGAUCCCUCAUGGGUGCACCGUCGAUCGACCUUGAUCUUUUGAGAAGGGUUUGAGUGCGAGCAUACCCGUCGGGACUCGAAAGAUGGUGAACUAUGCCUGAGUGGGGCGAAGCCAGAGGAAACUCUCGUGGAGGCCCACAGCAAUACUGAUGUGCAAAUCGUUCAUCUGACUUGGGUAUAGGGGUAAAAGACUAAUAAAAUCGUCUAGUAACUGGUUCCCUCCGAAGUUGCCCUCAGGAUAGCUAGAGCCCCCGACGAGUUCUAUCGAGUAAAUCCAAUGAUUAGAGGCAUUGGGGGUGCAAUGCCCUCGACCUAUUCUCAAACUUUAAAUAGGUAAGAUGGUGCAGCUGCUUUGUUGAGCUGCACCACAAGAUCGAGAGCUCCAAGUGGGCCAUUUUUGGUAAGCAGAACUGGCGAUGUGGGAUGAAUCGAAAGCCGGGUUACGGUGCCCAACUACGUGCUAACCCAGAACCCAUAAAGGGUGUUGGUUGAUUAAGACAACAGGACGGUGGUCAUAGAAGUUAAAAUCUGCUAAAAAGUGUGUAACAACUCACUUGCCGAAUCAACUAGCCCCAAAAAUGGAUGGUGCUUAAGUGCGCGACCUAUACACGACAGUCGGAGCAAGGGCCAGGCCCCAACGAGUAAGAGGGCGUGACGGUCAUCGUAAAACUUGGGGCAUGAGCCCGGGUGAAGCGACCGUUGAUGCAGAUCUUGGUGGUAAUAGCAAAUAUUCAAAUGAGAACUUUGAAGGCUGAAGAAGGGAAAGGUUCCAAGUGAACGGUACUUGCACAUGGGUUAGUCAAUCUUAAGAGAUGAGGGAAGCCCAUCCGACAGCACGUCCCGCGUGAGUUUCGAAAGAGAGUCGAGUUAAAAUUCUUGAACUGGGAUACGGUAGCUGACAGCAACAUUAGGGAGUCUAGAGAGGUUGACGGGGGCCUCGGGAAGAGUUAUCUUUUCUGUUUAACGACCCUCCCACCCUAGAAAUGACUCAGCCGAAAGUAGGGUCCAGCGGUCGGAAGAGCACCGCACGUUGCGUGGUGUUCGGUACACCCCUGAUGGCCCUUGAAAAUUUGGAGGACCCAGUCCUGUCCACGUUCGAUCAUACUCAUAAUUGCAUCAGGUCUCCAAGGUGAAUAGCCUCUGGUCGAUGGAACAAUGUAGGCAAGAGAAGUCGGUAAAAUGAAUCUGUAACCUUGGGAAAAGGAUUGGCUUUGAGGGCUGGGCACGGCGUCCCAAUCCCGAACCCAUCGGCUACCAGUGCCUGCUCGAGCUACUCCCACAGUGAGAGCGGGACGUUGCAUGCCGACCGGGGGACAAGCUGAGAACAACUCCCUCGAGGGCCUUCCCCGAGCGACAAACAGUCGACUCAGAACUGGUACAGACAAGGGGAAUCUGAUUGUUUAAUUAAAACAAAGCAUUGCGAUUGUCCCUGCGGAUGCUCAUGCAAUGUGAUUUUUGCCUAAUGUUCUGAAUGUCAAAGUGAAAAAAGUCAACCAAGCACGGGUAAAUGGUAGGAGUAACUAUGACUCUCUUAAGGUAGCCAAAUGCCUCAUCAUCUAAUUAGUGACACGCAUGAAUGGAUUAACGAAAUUCCCACUGUCCCUGUCUACUAUCCAGUGGAACCACAGCCAAGGGAAUGGGCUUGGCGAAAUCAACGGGGAAAGAAGACCCUGUUGAGCUUGACUCUAGUCUGACUUUGUGAAAUUACUUGAGACGUGUAGGAUAAGUGGGAGCCUCGAGCGAAAUUGAAAUACCACUACUUUUAACGUUAUUUUACUUAUUUCGUGAAUCAGAGGUGGGGCACGACCCCUUUUUUGGAUCGAAGGCCGAUGUUGGUCGGUCGAUCUGGGUAGAAGACAUUGUCAGGUGGGAAGUUUGGCUGGGGUGACACAUCUGUUAAAAGAUAACAUAGUUUUCCUAAAAUGAGCUCAACGAGAACAAAAAUCUGUGUGGAACAAAAGGGUAAAAGCUCAUUUGAUUUUGAUUUCCAAUACGAAUAUGAAUCAUGAAAGCGUGGCCUAUCAAUCCUUUAGACCUUCGAGAUUUGAAGCUAGAGGUGUCAAAAAAGUUACCACAGGGAUAACUGGCUUGUGGCAGCCAAGCGUUCAUAGCGUUGUUGCUUUUUGAUCCUUCGAUGUCGACUCUUCCUAUCAUUGUGAAGCAGAAUUCACCAAGUGUUGGAUUGUUCACCCACCAAUAGGGAACGUGAGCUAGGUUUAGACCGUCGUGAGACAAGUUAGUUUUACCCUACUGAUGGCGAUGUCACGAUAGUAAUUCAACCUAGUAUGAGAGGAACCAUUGAUUCACACAAUUGGUCAUCACGUUUGGCUGAAAAGCCAGUGGCACGAAGCUACCGUGCGUUGGAUUAUGACUGAACACCUCUAAGUCAAAAUCUGAGCUAGAAGUGACCUGCGCACCUGUCGCCCAAUUGUCGACCUACAGUAAGGGCCCAUGGCCCCCAAGGGCACAUGUCGUAGGUGCAGCCCUCACGACGGAUGAGCCGUACAUGCCACCUUGGAGCUCAAUUCCCAUCGAACGAUGGGUAAAAUCCUUUGCAGAUGACUUAAAUAUGCGACGGGGUAUUGUAAGUGGCAGAGUGGCCUUGCUUCCAUGAUCCACUGAGAUUCAGCCCUUUGUCGUUUCGAUUCGU
Molecule: ribosomal RNA, 3385 nt
Filed under: Durio zibethinus
Lineage: Eukaryota; Viridiplantae; Streptophyta; Magnoliopsida; Malvales; Malvaceae
Description: eukaryotic LSU rRNA
Rfam family: Eukaryotic large subunit ribosomal RNA
Source: RNAcentral